AGUCCAAAGAAUUCUACAACACCCCGGCCAGUUGGGCCCACGGACCCAAUACUGUGAGCUUCAUCUAUGUAGAGUUUUGUAGGAAACUGCCAAACAGUCUUCCAAGGUGGCUCCACUAUUUUGCAUUCCCACCAACAAUGUAUGAGCCUUUGUGUUGCUGUGCAUUCUCGCCAGCAUGUACUGUUGCCAGUCUUCCAGAUGCUAGCCUCCUAACAGAUGGGGACACAUGAGUGGAGUCUUCUGUUGAUGCUGGGCCUCUGUCCCAGCAGGGCUACCUGGUUUGAAUCCUGGCUCUAUUUUCUCUCAGUUAUCUGCCCCGGCUCAAGUGUCUUCAUCUUCACAGUAACCUCAAAGGAAUUAUGAAAAAAAUUGACUUAUGUGAGGCAUUUGUUGUGGGGAGACUUUGCCCGUGGUGGCAAACAACAGCAAUAGAUAAAAACAAAUCUGGGAGUGAAAAAACAAAGGAGGCUUUGAUUGAUGUCAACAAGAAGACAGCACCAUGUUGUAAGGAAGUUCUGGCUUGAUUGCUGAGUGAGAAGAGCCUAUAGACAAAGCACCCCAGAGAAGAGAACGGAACAAGAACAUUGGAAACUAUUUUUAAAAGCUCCAGGAAACUACUCUUAAGUGACUAAAUGUACCUAAAACUUUUACUUUGGGUUCCUCAAGAAGCAUUUUUGGUUGCUAAAUUGCUUUUUGAGGUACACAGUCUAGAAUACGAUCUAGUUUUGAGAAGUUGCCACAAGGAAUCUGAGACCCAACUGGACAAAAUUUCAAAAUGGUUUUCAGAAAUGUGGAUGAACUUGAUAUGGGACCUUUUGGCAAAACUCUUGGCAGUUGGCUGGCUGUCAUAUCGCCAAGGGCCUAGAAACUCAGUUGAUGAGCUUGUGGAGACACCUGGCUUCACCCACAGUUGAAUUAACAGCACUGUUGUCCUGUAUAAAAGGUGUCAACAUUCCAGUGGAAGGUAACUUUUAGAGCCAGAUCAUUUUGAUUCCUGUUUAAUUGAUUUCACAUAGUAGCAUAAUGAAUAUAUUGGUUCAGUGGACUGAGCUGCAAUAUUUUGGAAAUCUCUAUGUGACUUAAUCACUGGAAGUGUUAUCCCAAGCCACAAAAUAUAUGACAAUAAAAAAAAAUACAUCUGUAGCCCUGAAAAUAAACAGAUCCUGAGCAACCUAGCCUACAAUGCCUGCUCAAUUGCAACACUGUGACACUCUGAGACUGAGGCAGCUGUGGAACAUGGCGCAUUCCAUUGUACUGCUGGGUUGGUCCAUGGAAAAGAAGAGCCAAGAUGAAGAUGAAGAGACUGUCAGGUUUUGGUCACUACAAGGGUAGGAAGUCUGGGAAUAAAAUAGUCUUUGGGCUGACAAAAUGAUGAGGGGAACUUAGAGCACUGGGGAUAAGGAGAGGACCAUCUUCCUCUCUGAAGUGGAAUGUAUGCAGAAUUUUCCACAGUAUAAGAGUUGGGUAGACCUCCUCUGAGGUCUCCUGGGUAUAACACAAACUUCCAAGGAUACUGGCAUUUUGGGAAUGAGUAUCUACCUACCGUGUAGUUGCUGGGUUUUGAGCAGAGAAAGAGAACCAUUGUGAAUACUCUUGAAUAAGAGACUUAUUCUAGAGAUUAGGCUGUACUCAAAUGUGGGAGUUGGUUAAAAAUCUAUGGAAGGGGAGACCAUUUCCACAAUAGUACCAUGAAGAGCUUCCAUGGAUCUUCCUGACAAUAAAACAAACUUAACUGAUGAAAAUACAAUGAUUUAAAGUAUCUGGAAAUUAUCUUAAGGACAUACAGCAAAUGAAGAAACAUUUAUUUAUUGCAUGUGUGUGUGUGUAUAGCUAGUGUAUAUACAUAUAUAUAUAUGUAUAUUUUAAAUUAUCACCCCUAUGGUAGUAAAAUUCAAAGCAGCUCUUUCUUCAGUAGAAUUCUUACUUUUACUCUAAAAUACUUGAGUGUCUUAUUGAUUCCCAAGUUGCAUUUAUUUCCCUUUUAAAUACCUUGGAAUGUCACUUAUACAAAUGAUACAGCCCCAAAGUUCAUGAAGGUGGAAUGAUACAAGAAUGAUGAGAGUAAGGGGGCAGGGCAAAAUGGCAGAAGAGUAGGGUCCCCAAGUCACCUGUCCCCACCAACUUACCUAGAUAACUUUCAAAUCAUCCUGAAAACCUACGAAUUCAGCCCGAGAUUUAAAGAGGGAACAGCUGGAAUGCUACAAAGAGAAGAGUUUGCACUUGUAACAAGCUAGGAAGGUGGAAAAAUAAAAAAUAAAAAAGAAUCCAGUGGGGGGGGGGUCCCCACGAGGAGCCAGGCUAAGGCCCUGUGGCAAGAGCCUCCAGGACAGGAAAGCCCAGGCCCGGAGAAGCAGGAACUUUAACAAUCUUCCCGGAUGGAAAGGCACUCGCAGGGAACUCGGGCAGGAUCCUAGGAGGAGCAGUGGAGCCUCCAGUCUCCUGGGGUCACUAACAGAGGAAGUGUGCCCCAGGGGAGAGCGCGCCACACACCAUGGGCUAAGCGCGGUUAAGGGCUGGAGCGUGUACCCAGCAGGGCCUUGGGAGCAGCUCAGGCGGUGGCUCCGGGUGGAGGGGGCUGCAGCCCCCAGAGCGAUUCCAACGUUGCAGGCCCCAGAUCCCAGGGCGCUGGGGGACUCAGCCCAGGAUCCUGUGCUACCCUCAGGGACAGGCGGAGGCUGGGAGUGCACAAGACAGUGAGGACACUCCUGCCACCGGGCACCCUGAGCUGUGCAGGUCAGCGUUCCCCAACCCCAGGAGCAUCCAGGCCAGUGUGGAUUGGGAGACUGUAGUAGUUACUGGGGGAGCUGACUCCAGGGCUGGGGAGCUGGCCAACACAACUGUUGUUGUUCCUCCUGGUGUCACCCUGUGCCUGGGAGGGUUGGGGCUGCCAGGGAACAGAGGUCCUACAGGAUAAACAGCUCCCACUGAGCCCAGCACCUGGCAGGGUGCACACACCUGAGAAUCAGCACAGCAGGCCCCUCCCUCAGAAGACCAGCUGGAAGGACAGGAGAAGAGCAAGUUCUUGAUGGAGCAGUGCUGGAAAGCUCCAGGGGAAG
Molecule: long non-coding RNA, 3056 nt
Organism: Nyctereutes procyonoides (raccoon dog)
Lineage: Eukaryota; Metazoa; Chordata; Mammalia; Carnivora; Canidae
Exons: 12
Source: RefSeq, a predicted model, not a curated record